AGAGUUUGAUCCUGGCUCAGGAUGAACGCUAGCGGAGCGCCUAACACAUGCAAGCCGAGCGAUCUUUGCCAUGAUUUUCUUUUUAUCUUCGGAUAUUAAGAAUUGAUUGGAUUUCAAAGAAAGCGGCAGACGGGUGAGUAACACGUGCCUAACAUGCCCUGGAGAGGAGGACAACUGAGGAAACUCAGCUAAUCCUCCAUAAUCCCUUUUUUCUUAGGAAAUAAGGGCAAAGGAUUUUAUCCGCUCUAGGAGUGGGGCGCGGCUUAUCAGCUAGUUGGUGAGAUAAAAGCUCACCAAGGCAACGACGAGUAGCCGGAUUGAGAGGUUGAUCGGCCACAAUGGGACUGAGACACGGCCCAUACCCCUACGGGGGGCAGCAGUGGGGAAUCUUGGGCAAUGGCUGAAAGGCUGACCCAGCGACUCCGCGUGGAGGAAAAAGCCUUAAGGGGCGUAAACUCCUUUUCUGGGAGAAGACGACUGACGGUACCCCAGGAAUAAGGGACGGCUAACCACGUGCCAGCAGCCGCGGUAAUACGUGGGUCCCAAGCGUUAUCCGGAAUUACUGGGCGCAAAGUGUCCGUAGCCGGCUGUGUAAGUCUGCUUUCAAAUACCUUAGCUCAACUAAGGCACGGGGGUAGAUACUGCAUAGCUAGAGGUAGUUAGAGGCCAAUGGAAUUCCCGGUGGAGGGGUGAAAUCCGUUGAUGUCGGGAAGAAUGCCGAAAGCGAAAGCAGUUGGCUAUGACUAACCUGACGGUCAGGGACGAAAGCUUGGAUAGCAAACAGGAUUANAUACCCUGGUANUCCAAGCCGUAAAUGAUGCUCGCUAG
This 828-nucleotide ribosomal RNA is filed under the name uncultured bacterium. Its description in RNAcentral is "bacterial SSU rRNA". It matches the Rfam family "Bacterial small subunit ribosomal RNA", at positions 8 to 819 of the family's 1533-position model. The record is from RNAcentral.